This 330-nucleotide RNase P RNA is filed under the name Bursaphelenchus xylophilus (pine wood nematode). RNAcentral's name for it is "Nuclear RNase P". It matches the Rfam family "Nuclear RNase P". Rfam says of the family: Ribonuclease P (RNase P) is a ubiquitous endoribonuclease, found in archaea, bacteria and eukarya as well as chloroplasts and mitochondria. Its best characterised activity is the generation of mature 5'-ends of tRNAs by cleaving the 5'-leader elements of precursor-tRNAs. Cellular RNase Ps are ribonucleoproteins. The record is from Rfam by way of RNAcentral. Lineage: Eukaryota; Metazoa; Nematoda; Chromadorea; Rhabditida; Aphelenchoididae.
UUGGCGGUCAGACGGCUUGAGGGAGAGACGAAACGCACUCUGAUGUGCGAAAGCAACGGCACUCCCGGGAAGGUCUGAGAAAGGCGUCCGUUGCGGUCACACAUUCGCAACGUUUCCUCGUGAAGGGGAUCGUCCCCGUGGACGAUGCACUGUACCGGAAAUUUGCCCGCGCCGGCUCCAACUCCGGGACAAGAAGCCGGUCCGGUCGCGCGCGAUCGGAAAGGUGGAUCCCAUUUCGGGGCUCUAGGCGAGCGCGUUUGGAUCACAGUGCAGACGCAGCGCUUUGAGUGCGAUUGCCGUGAAACCCAAUUCAGACUACUCGACGGCCAA